RNAcentral lists this transfer RNA (67 nucleotides) under Urocitellus parryii (Arctic ground squirrel). RNAcentral's name for it is "Spermophilus parryii (Arctic ground squirrel) tRNA". It matches the Rfam family "tRNA". From Rfam's summary of the family: Transfer RNA (tRNA) molecules are approximately 80 nucleotides in length. Their secondary structure includes four short double-helical elements and three loops (D, anti-codon, and T loops). RNAcentral also lists the same sequence under 1 other name. Lineage: Eukaryota; Metazoa; Chordata; Mammalia; Rodentia; Sciuridae. The record is from Rfam by way of RNAcentral.
GGGGAUAUAGCUCAGUUGGUAGAGUGUUUGCCUCACAUGCAAGCCAUGGGUUCAAUCCCCAGCCCCA